This 468-nucleotide ribosomal RNA is filed under the name uncultured bacterium. Its description in RNAcentral is "partial 16S ribosomal RNA". It matches the Rfam family "Bacterial small subunit ribosomal RNA", at positions 28 to 507 of the family's 1533-position model. The record is from RNAcentral.
GACGAACGCUGGCGGCGUGCUUAACGCAUGCAAGUCGAACGGAAAGGCCCUGCUUUUGUGGGGUGCUCGAGUGGCGAACGGGUGAGUAACACGUGAGUAACCUGCCCUUGACUUUGGGAUAACUUCAGGAAACUGGGGCUAAUACCGGAUAGGAGCUCCUGCUGCAUGGUGGGGGUUGGAAAGUUUCGGCGGUUGGGGAUGGACUCGCGGCUUAUCAGCUUGUUGGUGGGGUAGUGGCUUACCAAGGCUUUGACGGGUAGCCGGCCUGAGAGGGUGACCGGCCACAUUGGGACUGAGAUACGGCCCAGACUCCUACGGGAGGCAGGAGUGGGGAAUAUUGCAAAAUGGGCGGAAGCCUGAUGCAGCAACGCCGCGUGCGGGAUGACGGCCUUCGGGUUGUAAACCGCUUUCGCCUGUGACGAAGCGUGAGUGACGGUAAUGGGUAAAGAAGCAACGGCUAACUACGUG